Molecule: ribosomal RNA, 1433 nt
Filed under: uncultured organism
Description: 16S ribosomal RNA
Rfam family: Bacterial small subunit ribosomal RNA
Source: RNAcentral
GCGACAGGCUUAACACAUGCAAGUCGAGGGGCAGCACAGGUAGCAAUACCGGGUGGCGACCGGCGCACGGGUGAGUAACGCGUAUGCAACUUGCCUAUCAGAGGGGGAUAACCCGGCGAAAGUCGGACUAAUACCGCAUGAAGCAGGGGCCCCGCAUGGGGAUAUUUGCUAAAGAUUCAUCGCUGAUAGAUAGGCAUGCGUUCCAUUAGGCAGUUGGCGGGGUAACGGCCCACCAAACCGACGAUGGAUAGGGGUUCUGAGAGGAAGGUCCCCCACAUUGGUACUGAGACACGGACCAAACUCCUACGGGAGGCAGCAGUGAGGAAUAUUGGUCAGUGGGCGCGAGCCUGAACCAGCCAAGUCGCGUGAGGGAUGAAGGUUCUAUGGAUCGUAAACCUCUUUUAUAAGGGAAUAAAGUGCGGGACGUGUCCCGUUUUGUAUGUACCUUAUGAAUAAGGAUCGGCUAACUCCGUGCCAGCAGCCGCGGUAAUACGGAGGAUCCGAGCGUUAUCCGGAUUUAUUGGGUUUAAAGGGUGCGUAGGCGGCCUUUUAAGUCAGCGGUGAAAGUCUGUGGCUCAACCAUAGAAUUGCCGUUGAAACUGGGGGGCUUGAGUAUGUUUGAGGCAGGCGGAAUGCGUGGUGUAGCGGUGAAAUGCAUAGAUAUCACGCAGAACCCCGAUUGCGAAGGCAGCCUGCCAAGCCAUUACUGACGCUGAUGCACGAAAGCGUGGGGAUCAAACAGGAUUAGAUACCCUGGUAGUCCACGCAGUAAACGAUGAUCACUAGCUGUUUGCGAUACACUGUAAGCGGCACAGCGAAAGCGUUAAGUGAUCCACCUGGGGAGUACGCCGGCAACGGUGAAACUCAAAGGAAUUGACGGGGGCCCGCACAAGCGGAGGAACAUGUGGUUUAAUUCGAUGAUACGCGAGGAACCUUACCCGGGUUUGAACGCAUUCGGACCGAGGUGGAAACACCUUUUCUAGCAAUAGCCGUUUGCGAGGUGCUGCAUGGUUGUCGUCAGCUCGUGCCGUGAGGUGUCGGCUUAAGUGCCAUAACGAGCGCAACCCUUGCCACUAGUUACUAACAGGUAAAGCUGAGGACUCUGGUGGGACUGCCAGCGUAAGCUGCGAGGAAGGCGGGGAUGACGUCAAAUCAGCACGGCCCUUACAUCCGGGGCGACACACGUGUUACAAUGGCGUGGACAAAGGGAAGCCACCUGGCGACAGGGAGCGAAUCCCCAAACCACGUCUCAGUUCGGAUCGGAGUCUGCAACCCGACUCCGUGAAGCUGGAUUCGCUAGUAAUCGCGCAUCAGCCAUGGCGCGGUGAAUACGUUCCCGGGCCUUGUACACACCGCCCGUCAAGCCAUGGGAGCCGGGGGUACCUGAAGUCCGUAACCGCGAGGAUCGGCCUAGGGUAAAACUGGUGACUGGG